CUCCUCCCUUGGUUUGCACUGAGGGUAACCCAAGUCUCAGCUGAAGUUAAGGGGGUUCAUGUUGGAUAUAUAUCAGCCAAAAAAAAAAAAAACCAAUCAUUCCCCCCCCCACCAGCAAGAACAGAAAGAGCUUUGACUUGAUGCACCAGCUCAGGGUGAAAGCUGUUGUUGGUCCCAAUUAGUGCAGCCAGCUUGCAUCCCUUUAAUAAGGGUAUCCUGGCAAAUAAUAAAUGUUUAAUACAGUCUUUCUUAUCUUCCCUCCCUGUUGCAAUGUCCACUCUUCUGCUCUGUUUUAAAGAGGAUGAACCAGAGGCAGAAUCUACAAACCUGAACCGAAGCACUUUUGCAUGGAUGUGCAUUGCAUUACUUCUCCUUUCCAGAGACAAAGAAUCAUCUCCCACCUCCCAGAAGGGUUGACAGCAAGCCGGGGAAAGAGGCGCUCCCUGCAUGAGACCCAGAGGCCUUUUCUUUCCACUUGAUCUGUGUUACACCGGAUUACGUCGAGGUGUGUUAUUUUACAUCACAGCAUGCUGGAAAUCGGCGUGAAGCGAGGCAGGGGGACCAAAGAGAGCACAGGGGCACGCAAAACCCUCAAAUAAAGGAAAGAUUUGCCAGAACUGCCA
This 623-nucleotide long non-coding RNA is filed under the name Pogona vitticeps (central bearded dragon). RNAcentral's name for it is "lncRNA (ENSPVIG00000005929.1)". Lineage: Eukaryota; Metazoa; Chordata; Lepidosauria; Squamata; Agamidae. The record is from RNAcentral.